UCCCUUGUGGUCCGGUGGCUAAGAUUCUACACCUCUAAUGCAGGGGGCUCAGGUUCAAUCCCUGGCCAGGGAA
Molecule: transfer RNA, 73 nt
Filed under: Bos taurus (domestic cattle)
Lineage: Eukaryota; Metazoa; Chordata; Mammalia; Artiodactyla; Bovidae
Also listed under: 5 other names
Rfam family: tRNA
About the family: Transfer RNA (tRNA) molecules are approximately 80 nucleotides in length. Their secondary structure includes four short double-helical elements and three loops (D, anti-codon, and T loops).
Source: Rfam by way of RNAcentral